CCUACGGGGGGCAGCAGUGAGGAAUAUUGGUCAAUGGGCGCGAGCCUGAACCAGCCAAGUCGCGUGAGGGAGGACGGCCCUACGGGUUGUAAACCUCUUUUGCCGGGGAGCAACGGGCGUCACGUGUGGCGCCACUGAGAGUACCCGGAGAAAAAGCAUCGGCAAACUCCGUGCCAGCGGCCGCGGUAAUACGGAGGAUGCGAGCGUUAUCCGGAUUGAUUGGGUUAAAAGGGUGCGUAGGCGGAUCGUUAAGUCAGGGGGCAAAGUGAGGGGCUCAACCCCUUCCCGCCAUUGAAACUGGCGCUCUUGAGUGGAAGAGAAGGAUGCGGAAUGCGUGGUGUAGCGGUGAAAUGCAUAGAUAUCACGCAGAACCCCGAUUGCGAAGGCAGCAUGCCGGCUUCCGACUGACGCUGAAGCACGAAAGCGUGGGGAUCGAACAGGAUUAGAUACCCGAGUAGUC
RNAcentral lists this ribosomal RNA (460 nucleotides) under uncultured bacterium. RNAcentral describes it as "partial 16S ribosomal RNA". It matches the Rfam family "Bacterial small subunit ribosomal RNA", at positions 338 to 795 of the family's 1533-position model. The record is from RNAcentral.